This 415-nucleotide ribosomal RNA is filed under the name uncultured bacterium. RNAcentral's name for it is "bacterial SSU rRNA". It matches the Rfam family "Bacterial small subunit ribosomal RNA", at positions 355 to 772 of the family's 1533-position model. The record is from RNAcentral.
UGGGGAAUAUUGGACAAUGGGCGGAAGCCUGAUCCAGCAACGCCGCGUGAGGGAUGACGGCCUUCGGGUUGUAAACCUCUUUCGCCUGUGACAAAGCGAUCCUUUUGGUGAGUGACGGUAACAGGUAAAGAAGCACCGGCCAACUACGUGCCAGCAGCCGCGGUAAUACGUAGGGUGCGAGCGUUGUCCGGAAUUAUUGGGCGUAAGGGGCUCGUAGGCGGUUUGUCGCGUCGGGAGUGAAAACCAGGUGCUUAACACCUGGCUUGCUUUCGAUACGGGCAGACUAGAGGUAUGCAGGGGAGAACGGAAUUCCUGGUGUAGCGGUGAAAUGCGCAGAUAUCAGGAGGAACACCGGUGGCGAAGGCGGUUCUCUGGGCAUGACCUGACGCUGAGGAGCGAAAGUGUGGGGAGCGAA